This 446-nucleotide ribosomal RNA is filed under the name uncultured bacterium. RNAcentral's name for it is "partial 16S ribosomal RNA". It matches the Rfam family "Bacterial small subunit ribosomal RNA", at positions 338 to 795 of the family's 1533-position model. The record is from RNAcentral.
CCUACGGGCGGCAGCAGUCGAGAAUCAUUCACAAUGGGGGAAACCCUGAUGGUGCGACGCCGCGUGGGGGAAUGAAGGUCUUCGGAUUUUAACCCCCUGUCAUGUGGGAGCAAAUUAAAAAGAUAGUACCACAAGAGGAAGAGACGGCUAACUCUGUGCCAGCAGCCGCGGUAAUACAGAGGGCUCAAGCGUUGUUCGGAAUCACUGGGCGUAAAGCGUGCGUAGGCUGUUUCGUAAGUCGUGUGUGAAAGGCGCGGGCUCAACCCGCGGACGGCACAUGAUACUGCGAGACUAGAGUAAUGGAGGGGGAAGCGGAAUUCUCGGUGUAGCAGUGAAAUGCGUAGAUAUCGGGAGGAACACUCGUGUCGAAGGCGGGUUCCUGGACAUUAACUGACGCUGAGGCACGAAGGCCAGGGGAGCGAAAGGGAUUAGAUACCCCAGUAGUC